GAGACUCUGUGCGCGUGCAUAUCAAUAAGCGGAGGAAAAGAAACUAACUAGGAUUCCCUUAGUAACGGCGAGUGAAGCGGGAAGAGCUCAAAUUUGAAUCUUCAAGGUUCUACCUUGACGAAUUGUAGUUUAAAGAAGUGUUUUCUGUUGGAGUUUUGGUAAAAGUUCUUUGGAAUAGGACAUCAUAGAGGGUGAGAAUCCCGUAUUUGACCGUUACUUUCCAGCUGUGUGAUACACUUUCAAAGAGUCGGAUUGUUUGGGAAUGCAGUCCAAAAUGGGUGGUAAAUUUCAUCUAAAGCUAAAUACUGGCGAGAGACCGAUAGCGAACAAGUACCGUGAGGGAAAGAUGAAAAGAACUUUGAAAAGAGAGUUAAACAGUACGUGAAAUUGUCAAAAGGGAAGCGUUUGACACCAGUGUUGUUUUUCCGAAAAUCAAUUACGAAUGUUUUGUUUUUGAGGAGUUAUGACUUCAUCGGCUUGCUUCUCUCUUUACUGAAACUUUCUUAAUGCACUUUUCGGUUAACAAGUCAACAUCAAUUUCUUUUGUUGUAAAAGGGUAUGAGGAAGGUGGCUUUCACUUCCGGUAGAAAGUGUUUAUAGCCUUGUGCCUCUACAAUCGGAGAGAUUGAGGUCUGCAGCGUAGAUCCUUCGGGGUUAGAUACAGUUAGAUGCUAAGUUAUAGCUUUUUCAUAGACAACUUGUUGACUAUGUUAGUCAUUGUAGCUUACUCGCUUAGUGCUAUUUUACCUACGCUUAGGAUGUUGACAGCAGUAUAGACUGU
Molecule: ribosomal RNA, 781 nt
Filed under: uncultured Neocallimastigales
Lineage: Eukaryota; Fungi; Neocallimastigomycota; Neocallimastigomycetes; Neocallimastigales
Description: partial large subunit ribosomal RNA
Rfam family: Eukaryotic large subunit ribosomal RNA
Source: RNAcentral